UUUUUUUUUUUUUCCACCCAGCAAAAACAGCACAUAAAAAACCUUCAGAGUGGAGUUCCUGUUGUGGCUCAGCAGUCAUGAACCCAACUAGUAUCUAUCCACAAGGAUGCCGGUCCGAUCCCCGGCCCCACUCUGUGGGUUAAGGAUCCGGCAUUGCUGGGAGCUCUGGAGUAGGUCACAGAUGGGGCUCAGAUCCCUGGUUGCUGCGGCUGUGGUGUAGGCUGGCAGCUGUAGCUCCAAUUCGACCUCUAGCCCGGGAACUUCCAUAUGCCACACGCGCAGCCCUAAAAAGCAACAAACAAACUAACAAACCAACCUUCCGAGUACCCUGGACGGGAGAGGACAGCCCCCUCUUUAGUCCUUUCCCCAUAGAGCCCACCCUCCCCGUUGUCUUAGGCAAGGCUGCUUCCCACACUUUGUACCUGCCUGGGCACAGCAGGCCCGUGAGUUGGCCUUCAGAGAAUCUGGACCUGAGUGUUUGGAUAUCCUGGGGGGGAGCAGAGAUGCCGCUCCCACCCCCGCCGCAUCCAGGUCCUGGCAGCGCUCAAGUGGGUGCACUGCGAGGAGACGGCUGAGCUGAUCUGGACCCCGUUGCUCUUCCCUCACCCCCGCCCACUUCCCCAGAGACCAGAGCGCCAAGUCCAGCCCCGGCCAGUCUGCUGCCUCCUCUCCUUUGUCGUGGGGUCCCUGGACCCCCUUUUCCCCAAGAGGGUCGGGCAGAGAGAGGCAGUGUUUCUGCUGGGCUGGUAGAGGAGGCUGAGGGCUGAGUGCACCCUGGCCAGCAGCCCAGGAAGCCUGAGCAUGUAAUUAAAAGAUUGUAUCUUCUUGGGUCUGCCUCUGGGGACAAGAGUUGGGUCUGCCUCUGGGGACAAGAGCUCCCAGUGUUGUCCUGAUCCUGUGACCUCUGUCUGGGCAGUGUCCCCUGCUGCCUGGCUCUGUUCUAUCCCUUCAGGCAGGCUGGGCAGGUCCAUUUCAGCUGGUUCGGAGCACAGAGGGGAUGGACUCCCCUUCUGUCCUUCAGGCCUCCUAACAGAGCCGCCCUGCAGAGUCAUGGUCGUGCCUCUCGUGCACACGCACCCUUGCUGUUGGUAAAGCAUUGUGCAUCCAUCCUGGUGGCGGGGAGUCAACACAGAGCUACCCAGCUGGUCAGUGGAAAGCUGAGCCUCAGAUACAGCCCUGCUGUGUGCUGUGCCCCCUGUCCAUUUCCUCCCCACCCCAACUCCCCUGCUCGGAGGACCAUGGACUGUGGGGAUGAGGUGGGGUGCAAGAGGAGAGCCCCUUCCUCCAGAGCUAGACAACAGCUUUAAGGGAUCCAGAUGGUCAGGGAACACUUUGGCCUUUGCCAGUAAGACCUCGAGACAUCAAGCCAAUACGGCCACGGCGGCCCCCACUCCCGCAUGGGCCCAGUUUCAACCGGCAAAAGGAAGGAAGGCAGGGAAACGUGCCCAGUGGAGAAAAGAGACCAGCUGCUGGGACACCAAGGGGAGGGAGGACAGGGCAGGACAGAGGGGCAGGGGCAGGGGCUAGGAACAUGGCACCUGGGCAGAAGGGAGGACGUUUAAGGGGAUGAGCUGCUGGGCUGCCGCAUCGUCCUGUCUUUCUUCUUCUCGGUGGCUGAUCAGGACCUGGAGCUGAGCAUGUGCUUUCUGAGCCUGGUGGCCUGGCCACAGAGGCUGGGCAUGGCCCUGGAGACCCCUCUCACCCACGAACCCACUGAGGUAUGUGGGCCCAUCCUUGUUAUAGAGCCUGGAAGGGGGCAGCCGACGGGGAGGGACCUGCCCACUGUCUCCUGGGCAGGGUGCUGCUCUCCCAGGUCUAGGUGGGAGCAGCUGCCUUUCUCUGGGCGCUGCUCUCAGCCAGGCUCUGUGCUGAGCACAGUACAGGCAGCAUUGUUAGCCCAUUUUACAGAUGAGAAGACCAGGACUCAGGGGGAAAGUCUCAGCUGAGGCCAAUGCCAGGAGUAGAAUCAGCAGAGUCAGACUCUAGAGCCUGCUGGGCCGCUGCUCCUACCCACCCUUUGAGGGGCUGGUAGGAAGCCCCUUAUGCUGCUGCUGAAAGGUCAGGAAAGACCAGGAGAGCAGAACCUUUAAGGAUGUAAGAGCCAGACCGGGAAGGAAGGGCAAAGCAUUCCCAGGGGUGGGAACAGCAUGAACAAAGGCCGGCAGCAGCGCAGAGCCUUGUCGGAGGACAAUGAGCAGCUGGGCGGAUGGAGCAGAGGAAAAGCGGAGAGAGGCAUGUAGGUGAGGCGGAUCACACUCUGACCAGCUCGCCACGGGCUUCCUGAACACUGGGCUGCAGAGCAAGGCCAGGGCCAGAGGCAGCUACGGACAGGCUUUAAGCAGGACCGCCUGAGUGGCCAUGCUUGCUUCGGGAGAGGCUCCCUCCAGCCACAGGAGUGGCAUGGAGAGCAGUUAGGAGGUGUCAGUCGAGAAGCAGUGUCCUACGUCCUGGAAGAAUUCUAGGAUGCGUGCCCUGAGCAGCUGGGACCAGCAAGGCGGCAGCCUUCCCCUCCCCCAACCAGCCCUCCCCCUCCCCGGGCCCGACGGUCAUCUUCCCCUCCGGUUUGGCUGGAGAGCUGAGCAGGCGCAAAGCACAGAUGCGACUGGUGCCAGUGCGGUUGGGGAGGCUGUCAUUCUUGUGGAUGAGUCAGUGGCCUGCACCCUGUGCCAGCCCCAGCGGCUUGCCGGGACUGGGACGAGGAUUCAAGGAAGGGUGGGGGCGGGAGGCUGGGGGUGGGGCGGGGGUGAUGGCUUGAGAUGCCCCCCGGCCAGCCUUGCUUCCACCUCUGCUUCCACCCAGAAAGCAGGGGUUUGAGUUUGGCAGCCUCUUUCUGCACAGAGGCUGGGCAGCCCCAGUUAACCCCUCCAGUGCCAACCUUGCUGUGUCCUGGCCCUGCCCUAGGUCCUAGCCUACAGGGGUACCCCAAGCUAGGACUGGGAGGUCAAGCUUUCGUUUCCUUCCUCUUUCAGAUCAACACUGCCUGGGCUUCCAGCUCUCCCAGCCUGAAUCCCAGGGCCAUCUUGGUCCUGAUGCCAGGCCCAGGGGCCUGUGCCUGCCUCCAGACCCGCCCUUUCUAGUAUGUUCCAUCGCUGCCAACCUGUGCCUCGAACAGAUGUAAAUAACCAACCAGGAGCAGCCUGCCUUCCCAGGAAGGUAGCUGCCGGCCUGGGCUUCAUCAGAGGAAUGGAUUCUGAUGGUAGAGCCCCAGGGUGGGGGUGGGGAGCAUGGAGGUGCAGGGGGUGGAGGGGUGCUGUCUGAGGCUGCUCAGACCACACUUCUGACAUCCAGCAAGUCUGGACGACAAGCUGGGGUAGCUUUGUCUUGGGGGUCCCUGGAGCUGUGUUCUGAGGGCCCCCCACGGGAGCGGGCUGGCUCUGUUGAGGGGUCGCUGGGGUGUGGGCCCUUGGCUCAAGGGAGCGGGGACAGGAGAACUGGUGAUGUCACUGUCCUCAUUAAACAUAGGGCCCCAAGGUCGGAGGGGGUCCCUGGUUCAGGCUGGGCUGCUCCCCUGGUUCCAUCCGAGGGUGGAAGGGAUGUCUGAGGGAGAACCCCAGGGGGCCCCUCUGAGGGCCGGGGACAGGGACAGGGGUCAGGGGAAGGUGGCUUUAGGGGGAUUCCAUGCACAGUGGAAAAAAAGGACUGAGGCAGGAAAGAUGACUCCACCAGCUGUCCCCUCCCUUCAUAAAGCAAGAGGAGUGGGUGGAGCUGAGGGGUGGCUGAGUAAUGUCCUCAGGGGGAGGGCCAGAAAUGAGGACAUGUGACCCUCGGUGGCUCAAGGGCCAGUGAAGUCACUCUUUCUCCUGGCCUCGGCUUCUCCAUUCUCUCAGGAUGACAGGGUGCCCUCCUGAUGCAAGCUCUUUCUUAAUGACACGAGACCAGACUCCCUGAUCCGCCAACCCUCCCUCCUUCGUCCCUCUGCUCACAGCCAUCGAAGAGAAAGAGGAGCCGUGUCCCUGUGCCAGUGGGGCGGGUGGAGGGCACAGAUGCACAGAUGGUCAAUUUUCACGUGGAAGGUCAACAUUACAGCGCAGAGAGGUCCAGGGCAGAGAGACGUGGGGCCCCCAGACAGAGGCUGGCUCUGCUCAGUCAUGACCAGGAGGGCUUCACAGAGAAGGUGGCAUUUCUUAAAGCAAGAGCGGUGACUGGCUUUGAGGAGCAAAUGGGAAAGGACCUUCUAGGCAAAGGGCAGGGGCUCACCAGGACGAGGGUAACUGGAGGAGGCCUGAGGAGGAAGUCCCUGCCACGUGGUGGAAGCGGGGAUGGAAAGAAGCAGGAGGGAUUGCCUUGGACGGGGAGGGCGUCGCCAGCCCAUCAUCUGGACUUGAUGUUGAGUGAAGAGGGAGAGAGGAUCUUGGUCUAAUGUAAAGCAGGUGGGGCCCAGAAUGUGACAGGCCUGCGUUCAAGCGCAGGUCUUACCACAUAGCUGCCAAGCUUGGGCUGGGCGCUUAACACCCGGGAGCCUCAGUGUCCUCAUCUGUGCAAUGGGAUCGCUGUGCUGGGGUUUCUGUACACAUCAGCCGUGACAGUGCUUUGCAAGCUGUAAAGAGCUCUGCAAGCUCCAGGCGUCCUUGGGGUAGCACCACAGCAGUAGCCCACUUCUGCAUUGACCUUUUGGGGUGCCACUUCCUGGGGGAUGGCCCCAGAGGGCUGCUCUCACCAGGCAGGCUAGUGUUCAGGCAGAGGAGGAUGUUUUUGACGUUCACCAUAACCUCUGUGGGUCACUUUGUCUGGGUACAGCCGCUGCCCACCCAGGGUCUCGGGGGGCCUGCCGUGGAAGGCCUGGGGGCAAGGGGACCGGAGCCUGAACUUAGUGCUGGAGAAUGUUCUAGUGGUACUUCUGGCCUUUGGGCCAUGAACACUGGGACAGUGGGGCAUGAGAGGGUAGGGCCAGUGUACC
This 4897-nucleotide long non-coding RNA is filed under the name Sus scrofa (pig). Its description in RNAcentral is "lncRNA (ENSSSCG00060002131.1)". Lineage: Eukaryota; Metazoa; Chordata; Mammalia; Artiodactyla; Suidae. The record is from RNAcentral.